Long non-coding RNA from Pocillopora damicornis (cauliflower coral), 186 nucleotides. Lineage: Eukaryota; Metazoa; Cnidaria; Anthozoa; Scleractinia; Pocilloporidae. The record is from RefSeq and is a predicted model, not a curated record.
AAAUGUUAUAUUUUGGAGGAUAAACGGAUUCAGAGGAUGGCAGUUUAACAGCUAUGGCGGAAGGUAAUCCCCCAACAGCAGGAAAGGAUCUGGACUUAAACAAUGAGCUUCCAGUCACAGCGUCAAACGAAAGUCAAGUUACUUCAAGUGAGACAAGACUUGGUGUAUACGAUGACCUUUUAAGAG